UAGAAAAUAAUAUCAAGGGAAGUAUGGAGAAUUUUCGAUUUCUCUUGUGUGGGUUCAAUUCCUACUUUUCUAA
RNAcentral lists this transfer RNA (73 nucleotides) under Anser indicus (Bar-headed goose). RNAcentral describes it as "tRNA-Gln". It matches the Rfam family "tRNA". Rfam says of the family: Transfer RNA (tRNA) molecules are approximately 80 nucleotides in length. Their secondary structure includes four short double-helical elements and three loops (D, anti-codon, and T loops). Lineage: Eukaryota; Metazoa; Chordata; Aves; Anseriformes; Anatidae. The record is from RNAcentral.